UUAUGUAGAAAGUACACACACACCCCCAAUCUCAUGUGAUCUUGGAAGCUAAGCAGGGUCGGGCCUGGUUAGUACUUGGAUGGGAGACCUUCUGGGAAUACCGGGUGCUGCGGGCU
RNAcentral lists this ribosomal RNA (116 nucleotides) under Aotus nancymaae (Ma's night monkey). Lineage: Eukaryota; Metazoa; Chordata; Mammalia; Primates; Aotidae. The record is from RNAcentral.